This 237-nucleotide unclassified non-coding RNA is filed under the name Lecanoromycetes sp. RNAcentral describes it as "partial contains 5.8S ribosomal RNA, internal transcribed spacer 2, and large subunit ribosomal RNA". The record is from RNAcentral. Lineage: Eukaryota; Fungi; Ascomycota; Lecanoromycetes.
CGCACAUUGCGCCCUCUGGUAUUCCGGGGGGCACGCCUGUCCGAGCGUCAUCGAAUCAAUCAAGCCUAGCUUGGUAUUGGGCCUCCCCCGCGAGGGCGUGCCCGAAUGACAGCGGCGCGGCCGUCGUGAGAAGAACGCAUUGGAAUUUUUUCGUUCUUGCCUCCCGGCGUUCGUUGCCACCGACCUCAAACUCUGAAAAUUGACCUCGGAUCAGACGAGAUUACCCGCUGAACUUAA